CAAGAUCUCAGUUAGGGAUGCUGCUGUUGGCCAAUGCCCAGACCUCUUUCACCACAAAAUCAGAGACAGAAAACCAAGAGCUACCAAGACGUCAACAUUACAGUUCUUGUUGCCCAGCUACCCCUGGGAGAAGACGAUUCAGGCUGUGAUUGACCUGUCAUGAAUCACAUCGAGGGAAAUCUGACUUUCCUUCUCCCCCUAAAUGUUGGAAUGUUCAUCCUGCUUGACUUUGUGCAGGCUUUGUGCAUGCUGUCACAAUCACUGGGAGUUUCUGGAAAGAUGCCUGUUGUAUCUAGAACAGUUUCUUUGAAGCCAUCCACAAGCUCUGGCUCCUACAGCCUUUCUGUGAAGAUCCUGGAGACUUGUGGGAAAGAGUGUGAUAGGAGCAUUCCAUCUGGGGUUGAGAAUGCCACAGUUUCUUAUUCUCCAUAUGUUGACCAGUUGAGAGUAUUUGUGUGAAUUGCCAUCUACUGCGAGUUGAAGCUUCCCUGGGGAGAACUGAGAGAUGCACUGAUGGACACAUGCUAAUGGAGAAGUUAUCAUCAAUUUUACUCAGCUGUGAAUCCUAAGAGCUGCAAUUGCAAUUGCCUGAACAAAUAUGUCCAAUGGCACAACAGUGGCAUGAAUGUUAGGUAACUAUAGAGGUUGGAAGAGGACAUCAGAUCCCCUGUAGCUCCAAUUGCUGGCAGUUGUCAGCUAACCAUCAUGGAUGCUGGGAACAAAUCAGCAAUUUGAACCAUGGAGUUAUGUCUUCAACCUAUGACCACACAUUUUGAAAGAAUGAAUACCAGCUGCAAACAGCCCAGGAACCGAAUACUGACAGAGCUGCUUCUUCAAGAAAAUGGGAGAUGGGGCUACAUUAUGCAGCUUCUAAAGACAUGUUAUAUAUAAGCCAGACAUCUAGGAGUUUGUUCUCAUAGAGAAGAAAGGAUUACAACUUGACUGAGCUGGAGAAUUUAAAGCAACUGGCCACUAACAUGAAAAUACCUCUUCAAUAUGAAAGAUUUUACUUCAUCUUAUAAUAUUUUAUUUUGUCAUGUUUGGUUGUUAUCUCUUAGAAGCCUGUUCUUUCCUAAUGAGAAACAGAAAAGGAGUGGAUCCAGAGAGGAGGGAAGGUGGAGAGGAACCAGGGGGAGUGGUGUGAAGGGAAGCUAUAAUCAGAAUAUAUAUAUGAGAAAGAAUCUAAUUUCAAUUAAAAAAAAAACCUCAGGUACAAAUAGACAUUCAGACAGAUAAAUUUUUUAAAAUUCAUGUUUCCUUGAUUAUCAUAUAUCAAGUUCUUAAAAGUACAGUUUCAAAAUGUGUAAUAAUUCCUCUCUAAUUGGGUUAUCAAUGUUAAGAAUUUAAGCCUAGUGU
This is a long non-coding RNA of Peromyscus californicus insignis, 1356 nucleotides long. RefSeq lists it as uncharacterized. Lineage: Eukaryota; Metazoa; Chordata; Mammalia; Rodentia; Cricetidae. The transcript has 5 exons. The record is from RefSeq and is a predicted model, not a curated record.